RNAcentral lists this ribosomal RNA (471 nucleotides) under Candida tropicalis. RNAcentral's name for it is "SSU rRNA". It matches the Rfam family "Eukaryotic small subunit ribosomal RNA", at positions 539 to 1016 of the family's 1831-position model. The record is from RNAcentral. Lineage: Eukaryota; Fungi; Ascomycota; Pichiomycetes; Serinales; Debaryomycetaceae.
GAUUUAUUGGAAAGGGGUAGUCUGGUGCCAGCAGCCGCGGUAAUUCCAGCUCCAAAAGCGUAUAUUAAAGUUGUUGCAGUUAAAAAGCUCGUAGUUGAACCUUGGGCUUGGUUGGCCGGUCCAUCUUUCUGAUGCGUACUGGACCCAACCGAGCCUUUCCUUCUGGCUAGCCUUUUGGCGAACCAGGACUUUUACUUUGAAAAAAUUAGAGUGUUCAAAGCAGGCCUUUGCUCGAAUAUAUUAGCAUGGAAUAAUAGAAUAGGACGUUAUGGUUCUAUUUUGUUGGUUUCUAGGACCAUCGUAAUGAUUAAUAGGGACGGUCGGGGGUAUCAGUAUUCAGUUGUCAGAGGUGAAAUUCUUGGAUUUACUGAAGACUAACUACUGCGAAAGCAUUUACCAAGGACGUUUUCAUUAAUCAAGAACGAAAGUUAGGGGAUCGAAGAUGAUCUAGAACGGUCCGAAAAAUUUCCC